This 107-nucleotide small nuclear RNA is filed under the name Notamacropus eugenii (tammar wallaby). Lineage: Eukaryota; Metazoa; Chordata; Mammalia; Diprotodontia; Macropodidae. The record is from RNAcentral.
GUGCUUGCUUCGGCAGCCCAUAUACUAAAAUUGGAACGAUACAGAGAAGAUUAGCAUUGGCCUUGCCCAAGGAUAACAUGCAAAUUCAUGAAGCAUCCCAUAUUUUU